GAUGAACGCUGGCGGCGUGCCUAAUACAUGCAAGUCGAGCGAACAGAUGAGAAGCUUGCUUCUCUGAUGUUAGCGGCGGACGGGUGAGUAACACGUGGGUAACCUACCUAUAAGACUGGGAUAACUCCGGGAAACCGGGGCUAAUACCGGAUAAUAUUUUGAACCGCAUGGUUCAAUAGUGAAAGACGGUUUCGGCUGUCAUUUAUAGAUGGACCCGCGCCGUAUUAGCUAGUUGGUAAGGUAACGGCUGACCAAGGCGACGAUACGUAGCCGACCUGAGAGGGUGAUCGGCCACACUAGAACUGAGACACGGUCCAGACUCCUACGGGAGGCAGCAGUAGGGAAUCUUCCGCAAUGGGCGAAAGCCUGACGGAGCAACGCCGCGUGAGUGAUGAAGGUCUUCGGAUCGUAAAACUCUGUUGUUAGGGAGGAACAAAUUUGUUAGUAACUGAACAAGUCUUGACGGUACCUAACCAGAAAGCCACGGCUAACUACGUGCCAGCCGCCGCAGUAA
Molecule: ribosomal RNA, 514 nt
Filed under: uncultured bacterium
Lineage: Bacteria
Description: partial 16S ribosomal RNA
Rfam family: Bacterial small subunit ribosomal RNA
Source: RNAcentral